CCUACGGGGUGCUGCAGUGAGGAAUAUUGGUCAAUGGACGAGAGUCUGAACCAGCCAAGUAGCGUGAAGGAUGACUGCCCUAUGGGUUGUAAACUUCUUUUAUAAAGGAAUAAAACGAGGCACGUGUGCCUUUUUGCAUGUACUUUAUGAAUAAGGAUCGGCUAACUCCGUGCCAGCAGCCGCGGUAAUACGGAGGAUCCGAGCGUUAUCCGGAUUUAUUGGGUUUAAAGGGAGCGUAGAUGGGUUGUUAAGUCAGUUGUGAAAGUUUGCGGCUCAACCGUAAAAUUGCAAUUGAUACUGGCAGUCGUGAGUACAGUUGAGGUAGGCGGAAUUCGUGGUGUAGCGGUGAAAUGCUUAGAUAUCACGAAGAACCCCGAUUGCGAAGGCAGCUUACUAAACUGUGACUGACAUUGAUGCUCGAAAGUGUGGGUAUCAAACAGGAUUAGAUACCCCGGUAGUC
Molecule: ribosomal RNA, 460 nt
Filed under: uncultured bacterium
Lineage: Bacteria
Description: partial 16S ribosomal RNA
Rfam family: Bacterial small subunit ribosomal RNA
Source: RNAcentral